GCGGAAAGUAUAUGAUCCUAAACUGGAUUUCACGUUUAUAAACAGUAUAAAACACCAUUCACGAAGCUAGAUGUUAACAUGGCACAGUAUUUCUGGCAAUGAAACGCUCGAACUGACCAAGUGACCAAUUCACACGAACUUUUAUCGAUGGAUAAUUUUGCGAGUGUUCAUCUAAUUCAGUCACAUAUAUGCUCAAAAUCUUCGCGGUAAGUUUCUCUUUACCAUAAAACUUGACCGAAUAACUUUCGAAACAAUGCGACGGCAAAAACUGCAAAAAUCCUGAUUUUCGUAAUAGGAACUAUAGUCUUUUUGCCCUGUUGUACCGCCAUCUCGGAUUUAUCAUUUAGGCCCCUCCUGCGCUGGGUAUUCGUUAGCAAUCUAGAUCUCCUAUAUCUAUGGUUUGGAAUAUAAACACAAUAACGGCCAGACUUAGAAUUAAAAAUAGUUUCUGUUUAGCAUUAAUUCUUCAGGAAAUGGCUGAGGAAUUUUGUAAAAUGAAAUGUAAAAUUAUAUCGUUCGAAAUAAAGUUUCAAUAACACUUUUUACUUUACAAGUUUCAAUUCGAAAACACAAUAGUACAAUACAUCGUCAAGACACCAUCGGGCUACUAACUCUUGACGAAGGGCCGUCGCUCGAAACGUCGAGUUUCUGCUUAUUUUUUAUUUUUUAUUUUUUAUUUUUUAUUUUUUAUUUUUUAAGGUAGCAAUAUAACCACUCAGCACAGCAUUUUUACAUUGGUACUACCAACACUGGUACAGACAGUUUUACAAUAAAAACACGACAUAUCAAAAGAAAUAGUAUCAUACAAAUUGAGAUGUUUAUAGGAUACAAAACAAAAUUGUUUGAAAAAGAAUAUCACGGCUUUUCCCAACGUUUGGGAUAGUUUUUGCUAUUUGUUUGAAGCGAAUAUUUCGGAGUUUUAAAUAAGUUUUAAAAUGUCCGUGAAAAUGUUGACACAGUAAAAUAAUAAAGAAAUCCUACCUUUCAAGUUGAUUACAACAUUUUGUGUUUCUUCCGUUUUCUGGGACGAUUUUUUCAAUAUUUUGUCGAUUUUGAAACCAAAUUUGCCGAGUCACUGUAUUUGAAAAGCAUUAAUUACUACCCAGGUGGUAAAUAAUGCAUCAGAUUUACUAGUCGACUAGCCAAUCAGAACGCGCGAAAGCUCACUUGAGAUGCAAAAUUUAUACUAAUGUUAAGUUGAUUAUUCUAUACUUUUGAAAAAGUGACAUCAUUACGGAGUCCGUGGGAUUGUUAAUGAUUGGUUUCGCUCAUAUUUAUCGAAUAGUACACAGACAAAACAAGUUGGUGAUAAAGUAUCCGACAAAGAAUUAACUACAAUAGGUGUACCUCAGGGGUCUGUUUUAGGACCUUUGCUUUUCUUUAUUUAUGUUAAUGAUAUCUAUAAUUCAUCUAACAAAUUACAAUUUUACUUAUUUGCGGAUGAUACGAAUUUGAUGUACGCUGAUAAAGAUCUAAAAAUAUUAAGUAUAGACUUAAUGCGGAACUACUUAACGUGUGUAACUGGUUAACUGCAAAUAAAUUAUCUUUAAAUAUAAAAAAGACGCAUUUCGUGAUCAAAAUCCUUAUCAAAAGAAGAUAAAUUAUGAGGUAGAUUUGAAGAUAUUUGACAAUAAUUCAAACUCUUUUAUUUCUUUGGAACGUAAACAUUUGGGUCUGCUUAUUGACAGCAAUCUUACGUGGAAAUACCAUAUUAGUUACGUUGCUUCAAAAAUAAGUAAGACAGUGGGCAUUAUCUCCAAAUUAAGGCAUUUUGUACCCAGAAAUAUUUUAAUAAAUAUUUAUAAAUCUCUUAUUCUUCCUCAUAAUUCCUAUGGCAUAGCAGUAUGGGGUCAGGCUGCCAAAGUUCAUAUUGAUAGAAUUUUAAAGCUUCAAAAACGUGUUCUUCGGUUAAUAUAUUUAGGGGAUUACACAUCCCAUGCAAUUCCUUUCUUUACUUUUAUUUUAUUUUAUUUUCUUCUUCCAACAUUUUACCGGUUGAGAUGCUAUACUUUAAAUAUGUCUCUAUUCUGAUGCAUGAUGUACAUAAUAACUUGGCACCACUACAUAUAUCAAAUCGCCUUACUUAUACUCAUGACAUACAUGACUAUAUAAUACCAGAUUUUCUUCAAACGUUAACUUCUAUGUGAAACAUUCAUGUUUAAAUAAACUGGAUAACACUUUUUCCAGAACUGGCCCAAGAAUAUUGAACGGUAUUCCAUGCAUGUGACUUAUACGUAAUUCUCCGAUGAAUAAAUUUAAUUAAGA
Paramuricea clavata is the source of this 2265-nucleotide non-coding RNA. NCBI's taxonomy places the organism in Eukaryota, Metazoa, Cnidaria, Anthozoa, Malacalcyonacea, Plexauridae. The record is from the annotation of a GenBank genome assembly.